RNAcentral lists this ribosomal RNA (229 nucleotides) under uncultured bacterium. Its description in RNAcentral is "partial 16S ribosomal RNA". It matches the Rfam family "Bacterial small subunit ribosomal RNA", at positions 568 to 796 of the family's 1533-position model. The record is from RNAcentral.
GGCGCAGGCGGCGCUGUAAGUCAGACGUGAAAUCGCGAAGCUUAACUUCGGAACUGCAUCUGAAACUACAGCACUAGAGGGUAGGCGGAGAAAACGGAAUUCCAUGUGUAGCGGUGAAAUGCGUAGAUAUAUGGAAGAACACCGGUGGCGAAGGCGGUUUUCUAGCUUAUUCCUGACGCUCAGGCCCGAAAGCGAGGGGAGCAAACAGGAUUAGAUACCCUGGUAGUCC